This 253-nucleotide ribosomal RNA is filed under the name uncultured bacterium. RNAcentral's name for it is "partial 16S ribosomal RNA". It matches the Rfam family "Bacterial small subunit ribosomal RNA", at positions 524 to 776 of the family's 1533-position model. The record is from RNAcentral.
UACGGAGGGGGCUAGCGUUGUUCGGAAUUACUGGGCGUAAAGCGUGCGUAGCCGGUUAUGUAAGUCAGAUGUGAAAGCCCCGGGCUCAACCUGGGAAUUGCAUUUGAGACUGCAUAGCUAGGGUGCGGAAGAGGGAAGCGGAAUUUCCGGUGUAGCGGUGAAAUGCGUAGAUAUCGGAAGGAACACCAGUGGCGAAAGCGGCUUCCUGGUCCAGCACCGACGUUCAGGCACGAAAGCGUGGGGAGCAAACAGG